RNAcentral lists this ribosomal RNA (429 nucleotides) under Fusobacteriota bacterium. RNAcentral's name for it is "Fusobacteria bacterium partial 16S ribosomal RNA". It matches the Rfam family "Bacterial small subunit ribosomal RNA", at positions 355 to 776 of the family's 1533-position model. The record is from RNAcentral. Lineage: Bacteria; Fusobacteriati; Fusobacteriota.
UGGGGAAUAUUGCGCAAUGGGCGAAAGCCUGACGCAGCGACGCCGCGUGAGGGAUGAAGGUUUUCGGAUCGUAAACCUCUGGCAGAAGGGAAGAAACCGCACUGUGCUAAUCAGCAGUGCCUUGACGGUACCUUCAAAGGAAGCACCGGCUAACUCCGUGCCAGCAGCCGCGGUAAUACGGAGGGUGCAAGCGUUAAUCGGAAUUACUGGGCGUAAAGCGCACGUAGGCUGCUUUGUAAGUCAGGGGUGAAAUCCCACGGCUCAACCGUGCAACUGCCUUUGCUACUGCUUAGCUUGAAUCCGGGAGAGGGUGGCGGAAUUCCAGGUGUAGGAGUGAAAUCCGUAGAUAUCUGGAGGAACAUCAGUGGCGAAGGCGGCCACCUGGACCGGUAUUGACGCUGAGGUGCGAAAGCGUGGGGAGCAAACAGG